UGUGUUGUCCCAGCGAUGGUACAUGCCACAUCUAUCAGAGUCAACAAUGGAAGGACACACAGGUUUAUUGAAACUCUUGCUGCUUGGCUCAGGGUUAACUUACUUUGUAUUAUCUGCUGUGCUGACAGAAUGUGACGUUCUUAAAAAUCAAGACCACCUUAUUAUCUUCGGACACGAGGGAAAUUUUUCUCAUGAUCUAUGUACACUACUGGAGGCGCCCCUGUAUGUUUGGAUUGAUAAAGGUUGGACACAUGUUAACAAUAAGACACAAAAACCGUACUUCAGUAUCCGAACAGUCACGAUUAAGAAUACAAAUACGAAUCUGCUGACAUACCAUAAUAACUUUUUUUCGACGAGCGAUUUGAAACCACUAGAAGUCAUGUUUCGGCAAAAUGGGAACUACAAAAGUCUGAAAUUGCAUUUUAAGACACCAGGGUUUUACUUUUUGUCAAGUGUUGAGAGGGGACAUUUCACCGGGUCAAGGGUUAACCCUGCUGUGUGCCUCCAGCGAUCACCCUCCCACUGAUCUAACCAUCGUUAAACAAGGACAACACCAACAUCUGCCAACAUCGAUCUUCUACAGCAGCUUGAAGUUUGUGAUCAAACCUUUCAGCUGUGAGGAUACGGGGAUCUACCUCUGCUACAUCAACCAAACAAACUACAUCAGCAAGUCGGUAACUGUGACCUCCCG
Long non-coding RNA from Physella acuta, 691 nucleotides. RefSeq lists it as uncharacterized. The record is from RefSeq and is a predicted model, not a curated record. Lineage: Eukaryota; Metazoa; Mollusca; Gastropoda; Physidae.